CCUACAUCUAGAAGCUUUUCAGGUAUGGUUGCUGUGUCACAUGUGCUUCUGAAGGUGGCAGAGAAGAGAGGGGCUAUGUCUAUGCUCAGUAAUUUGAUUUGUCUGAAUGAUUAAUAGCCUAACACU
This is a small nucleolar RNA of Grammomys surdaster, 126 nucleotides long. RefSeq annotates it as small nucleolar RNA SNORA17. The record is from RefSeq and is a predicted model, not a curated record. NCBI's taxonomy places the organism in Eukaryota, Metazoa, Chordata, Mammalia, Rodentia, Muridae. The transcript has a single exon.